UAGCCAGUUACUAGUAGCCAACUUUUCUCUUUUUAAGUAGCCAGUUACUAGUAGCCAACUUUUCUCUUUUUAAGUAGCCAGUUACUAGUAGCCAACUUUACCGAUCUUGCAAAAUGUAGGCCUAUGCUCACUGUCAUGAUCGUGUGCAGGAUUGGACAAAACAAGAUGGCAGAUGGCAUUUCCAAACAAAGAUCCAGUCAGAAGCGGACUUCCUUAAGCUUAAAAGUUGCAAGUGAAUGAAGUGUGUUCUAUUUUAUGUCUCCUACUAAAACCAUGGGUUUGACAAACCUAAAAGAGAACGUGGAGCAAGGAACUAUCAGUAAGCCGGAAGAGCCAGCUCGAAAAUCUUUAAGUGUUUGAGAAUUUCACCGCGCACAUGAAUCUAAAGUUCUGCCACACGUUAGAAGGAGCCUUGUUCUCGACGAUCAACGUGUUGAAAAGUCUUCAUUUUGCAGAAGCAAAUACAUUUAUAUUGUAUAUACACAUGUAAACCAUGUUCGAUUCCCAACCACUUAAGGUUUGUGAUAUCUGCAUGGAAUUAUUAAAACUGAGCAUGGUUUGACGUAUAAUAAUCUCUUCAGGCAUGAUGGUUUACAUUUCACAAAGCUGUUCAAUGACAAUAAAGACUAUAAGAUGU
Molecule: long non-coding RNA, 637 nt
Organism: Ostrea edulis (European flat oyster)
Lineage: Eukaryota; Metazoa; Mollusca; Bivalvia; Ostreida; Ostreidae
Exons: 2
Source: RefSeq, a predicted model, not a curated record